This 2311-nucleotide long non-coding RNA is filed under the name Manduca sexta (tobacco hornworm). RNAcentral describes it as "uncharacterized LOC115441232". Lineage: Eukaryota; Metazoa; Arthropoda; Insecta; Lepidoptera; Sphingidae. The record is from RNAcentral.
AAUAAUAUGAAGAUUUGGCUUUGGCCUUAUCGUACUGAAUCUCAUUGAAAGCACUAUUAAUGACGAGGCUGUAUGUUUGCCUUCCCAAUAAUAAAGGGAAAAUCAAAAGUAAAAAAAAAAAAUUACUGUUUAACUUCAUAAUUCAUAUUUCAUUCUCAUUUCCCAAUUCUCAAUAUUUUUUUGAUGAUUUCGGUUUGAAUUUGCACGUUGCCUUGUUCCUACUGGAUUUCAAUAUACUUCGGACGUUUAGCUUAGUUUUAUUGUACUGGCCUUAGUAUUACAUACGCGUUGCAUUAAUCCUGUGUCGUUUAUAAUAAAUAUUAUGAAAAGUAUGCGCAAACCUUAUACAGAUGUCAAGCUUUUAAUAAAAGUGGAGAAAAACCUGUUAGUAGUGCCUUUGAAACACCUAAGUCUGAUAGUGCCUGCUUCCACCCACCCAUACAACAAAGCAGAGAUGACUGGUGUCCAGAUCCCAAGUCACCCACGUCAGUCUGGUCGAUGCACCAUUACCAGGGCUGCACCAUGUAGAGGUUUCCUGAGCAUUCUUUCCUUCUUCUACAUGCCCCAUAUGGGGUCAGCGCAGCACUUUAAUAAUAUAGCAAGUUUUAAUGAUUGUCAUAAACUUUAGGCUGCAUUGGCCAAGGGGCCAUAAAAACCGAUGCCGAUCUUUAUGUAAAAUAUAAUUAUCAUUAGAACUAUUUGAAGACGAAUUAGACUGCAUUUAUGUAUAUUAGUACCUAUAUUUUGUGUUAGCCUUCUUUUAAGAAAAUUUCGCCUUUCGCCACUGUUAGACUGAUAUUAAAUUUGGUGUAAAUCAAAUAAUAUGUCUUUAAAUAUUACAAAACGUCAGUGUUAUAAUGUUUAUUAAUAAUAAAAUAUUUUUUUUCAGUACCGCAUUCAAAAUAAUUAAUAUGUAUAAAUGUUGUGAGGGAUUUGGGCGUUUGGUUGAUUCUAAGCUCAAUUUUGAACUUCAUUAUGAACCAGUUAUGUUGAAAGCCAGAGAAAUGCUGGGUUUCAUAAAUACAGUAACACCAUAUUAUACAACCCUCAAGUCUACUUACUUAAUACAUCCUAAGUGCAAAGUACAUUUGAGUAUGAUAAUUGUAUGGUCCACAUUAAUAAAUUAAAUUCAGUCCAAAAAAGUUUUGUUUAACUUGUUGCUUGAUGCUUAGCUUAAAUAAAUAAUGUUUAAGUUUAAAAAUAAAAUAUAAAUGUAAGUUGUGUUUGAUAUGUGUUGGAAAUUAUACUUAUUCUUAGCUACAGCUUGCAUAAUAUUAAGUUUCUCUUUAUGUGAGUUAUUAUCUUUGAAUAUAUGUAUAGUCUGGCAUAUGUUAACUUAUUUCGUGAACAUCACCACAUAUAUGUUUAAUUGUCUGCAGAAGUCACUUUUAGAUACAAUUACAUACAUGUUGAGUUUUCAUAUCUCGGGCUUACAUUAUAGCUAUAAGUUAUAAUAUUUAAAUUAUUGUAAUUGUAGUGUUAAAUUUGCUGAAAAACCUUAUAACAAAAUAAAGAGUUGAGUGCAAGAUUUGGUUUGAAGCUGAAUUAUCAGAAUAGAAUGAAUUUAAACUAGACACAUUACAGUGGAGGAGAAAACUAAACAAUCUUAUGACAUAAAAUUGUAAAUUCGAAAUUGGAUACCCACAUUGUUAAGUAUCUCAGAGUUGCUAGUGGAUCAAACCUUAGACGACAUUUUGACAAUCCCCAACAAUCAUCUGCAAAAGUUCUAGUUGCAGUAUGAAGCUUUUAGGUUAAGUGAAAAUAUUAGUAUCAAUUACUCAUUUAAAAACUAUUUAUCGUUAUCAAACAAUUUUGUUUUCAAGAAAUUAUUUAGUUUCCUUUUUGAGGUGAGUAAUUUUAUUAAUUACCUUAAACCUUCAUACUGCAACUAGAGCAUUUUGCAGAUGAGAUUUUGUUUUUGGGGACUGUUGAUUUGUUCUCAGUACCUGAAGCUACAAUGAAUGUAGUACAUGAUAGUUACAUUGUAUGUGUAAUUGUGACAAUGAUCACAAGGAGUUAUAUAUCAGCGGGGUAUUUAUCAUUUUAAAAUAAAUAUCAAAAAUUUAAAACUACUUUAUAAUUUCAUUUCCUAUGGAAUUAUAUUUUUUAUAAUUUUUUUUUUUUAUAUUAUUUGAAUGUUGUGCUCAGGUUUUAUCGGUGUACAAAUAAAAAUGUGUUAUUAUGUAUAUUAUAUAUUAGAUAUUAGUAUCUUUGUACAUGGUAACUGUGCCUAAUAAAAUAAAACAUUUUGAUCCCCGAUAUAGAAAUGAUUUGUUCUUAGGACUUAAUAAAGGAAAUAUUGAUAUAAAAA